AGUCGUAACAAGGUAACCGUAGGUGAACCUGCGGUUGGAUCAUUACCGAUACUUGGCUUGAAGUUGAUACCGAAAGGAGUCCUUCAUUCCAAACUAACCCCUUGUGCACAAAAUUGUUUUUGGGUCACUCUCUGGGUGGCUCAGCAUAUUUAACAAACCAUUAGAACCUGUCUGAAAUUAAAUGAAAAUUUAAACAACUUUUGACAACGGAUCUCUUGGCUCUCGCAACGAUGAAGAACGCAGCGAAAUGCGAUACGUAAUGUGAAUUGCUUUCCGUGAAUCAUCGAAUCUUUGAACGCACAUUGCACUCCUUUUUGGAGUAUGCCUGUUUGAGAAUCUAUAGUAUUACUUUUCCUGUGUUUGAAAAAACACUUGAGAGAUAUGAGGUCUCCCUAUUGCAGGGUUCCUUAAAAUAGAUUGCCUCUAGGAGUUUGAAAUGUUUGACAUUGUCUUUUAUCUUUGAGAAAAGUAUGUGUAUGAAGCUUUGGUUUCUCAUAAUGCCUAUUACCUUUGAUUGACUUUUUAGUUUCAUUCAAAUAGUGGUCCAUAACUAUAAAGCUUUCGAGCUUGAACAAUGGUCUCAAAUCAGGUAGGAAGACCCGCUGAACUUAAGCAUAUCAAUAAGCGGAGGAAGAAGUAAAAGUCG
Molecule: ribosomal RNA, 646 nt
Filed under: uncultured fungus
Lineage: Eukaryota; Fungi
Description: eukaryotic LSU rRNA
Rfam family: 5.8S ribosomal RNA (bases 196-339)
Source: RNAcentral